RNAcentral lists this ribosomal RNA (441 nucleotides) under uncultured bacterium. Its description in RNAcentral is "partial 16S ribosomal RNA". It matches the Rfam family "Bacterial small subunit ribosomal RNA", at positions 338 to 795 of the family's 1533-position model. The record is from RNAcentral.
CCUACGGGUGGCAGCAGUGGGGAAUAUUGCACAAUGGGGGGAACUCUGAUGCAGCGACGCCGCGUGAGUGAAGAAGUAUUUCGGUAUGUAAAGCUCUGUCAGCAGGGAAGAAGAAAGACGGUACCUGACCAAGAAGCCCCGGCCUACUACGGGCCAGCAGCCGCGGUAAUACGUAGGGGGCAAGCGUUAUCCGGAUUUACUGGGUGUAAAGGGAGCGUAGACGGCAGGGCAAGUCUGGAGUGAAAGGCCGGGGCCCAACCCCUGGACUGCUCUGGAAACUGUCCGGCUGGAGUGCAGGAGAGGUAAGCGGAAUUCCUUGUGUAGCGGUGAAAUGCGUAGAUAUUAGGAGGAACACCAGUGGCGAAGGCGGCUGACUGGACUGUAACUGACGUUGAGGCGCGAAAGCGUGGGGAGCAAACAGGAUUAGAUACCCUUGUAGUC